Molecule: ribosomal RNA, 466 nt
Filed under: uncultured bacterium
Lineage: Bacteria
Description: bacterial SSU rRNA
Rfam family: Bacterial small subunit ribosomal RNA
Source: RNAcentral
CCAGACUCCUACGGGAGGCAGCAGUGAGGAAUAUUGGUCAAUGGGCGAGAGCCUGAACCAGCCAAGUCGCGUGAAGGAUGACGGCCCUACGGGUUGUAAACUUCUUUUGUCAGGGAGCAAUUGGGUCCACGCGUGGGCUUAGCGAGAGUACCUGAAGAAAAAGCAUCGGCUAACUCCGUGCCAGCAGCCGCGGUAAUACGGAAGGUCCGGGCGUUAUCCGGAUUUAUUGGGUUUAAAGGGAGCGUAGGCCGGCUUUUAAGUCAGCUGUGAAAGUCCGCGGCUCAACCGUGGAAUUGCAGUUGAAACUGGAGGCCUUGAGUGCACACAGGGAUGCCGGAAUUCAUGGUGUAGCGGUGAAAUGCUUAGAUAUCAUGAAGAACUCCGAGCGCGAAGGCAAGUGUCCGGGGUGCAACUGACGCUGAGGCUCGAAAGUGCGGGUAUCAAACAGGAUUAGAUACCCUCGUAC